Molecule: long non-coding RNA, 1580 nt
Organism: Misgurnus anguillicaudatus (oriental weatherfish)
Lineage: Eukaryota; Metazoa; Chordata; Actinopteri; Cypriniformes; Cobitidae
Source: RefSeq, a predicted model, not a curated record
ACCCAAAAAACUCAUACAGGUUUAGAUCAACAUGAAGGUGAGUAAAUGAUGUUCAUUUUUGGGUGUACUAUCCCUUUAAUUUCACAGUCCAACCAGGACUGUCAAUCAGUUUCUAGUAAAUUAUUAUUUCUAGCGGUUAUAUACUUAUUUUAGAAGCAAAGUGAGGUGUAAAUGAGCUUUUAAAGGUGAGACUGAGACUCAACACUGACAUCUAGUGCUUUUAGACUUAUCAACACUGCUCAUUUUUGUCAAACCUGAGACUUUCACUUAUUAUUUGGAGAAAUCAAUAUUUAUCAAGCAUCACUAUUAUUACUGUUUAUACAUCAGGUUGUUGAAAAAAACUUUACACUUUUAAACUCGCCGUGUAACCAUUAUUACUAGAGAUUACUAGAGAUUUUAUCUAUGGCACCCACACAGCGAUCACCUACUGUAAAACACCAUAGAAACCAAAGGCCACUUUAUGUUCGCCAUACGUCUUAGUAACAGCAUAGCAACACCAUAUCGACCACUCGAACUCUCGAAUUCGCAAAACAACCACUCAUAAGGCCCCAGCAACCGCACAACUACGAGCAAACCACUCAUAACGCCUCAGCAACCGCAUAGCAACGUAUUAAAACAUCUAUAGCGGAUGCCUAGCAACCGCAUGGCCACGUGCUGAUGAGAAUUCGGUUUCGCUUAAAAUUGUGAACAGUGCCAAAGACCAAAGCGCCACAUAAACAAAACAAAGAAAUGAUACGCACAUUUUCUGCGGAGGUAAUUCGCGAUUUUCCCGGCAUCCUGCAGCUGCCAGCUGGCGGAUGAUUCGAGAGUUCCGGUGAAUGAUGACUAGUAGUAGGUGAGAAAAGUAACGCACGCGCUACAGCCUGUAUGUACCUGAGGCGAAGACGACGCAAGUGACAACACCCACAAAAUCUAUGGUUUCUAGACAUCCAAGCCUGGGCCAAAGACAGCUGGUCAAAAUGAAAACCUGCCGCUAUCCCGAAUGAGGAACCAAGACUGCGGCAGGCUAUUUAUUCCACUCGGCUAAUGCCUAAUGUCUGCCUGGGCAGAUGAGAAAGAACUUAACGCUUCCUUUUUUAGCAUGUGCAUGUACGUGGAGCAGCACUCGUGGUCUGGCGUGGUGUAGGGGUACGAUCGGCAACUAUUGGGAAAGGGUGCAGAAGGCAUGUGCCCAUUGAGGAGAUAUCCAUACAGGAGAAGGGAUCUGUGCGUCUAGCCAUGAGUCACUCUUUCUGUUUACCUAGAGGCCGUAAUGCAGCCAUCGGUCUGAUUCCUGCCACCAUGGCAACCUUCCGGCCACCACAGCAACUGUCUUUCCCUAUGCGGGCUGCCACACUCCACUUGAGGAAUUCCAUAAUGGUGGCCAAGGAAGGACACCUUCUCAUGCGGUUUCCGUCUUAAUGCCGUUCCCUUAUUACGUCUUGCUGCUGCAUAUCCUCGAAUGACUGAGGCAGACAGGUGGAUGUGCUUUGGGAAACCAGCAGAAGUUGAGUCUUCUGAAUACAGAAUUAUCACAAUACUAUGUUUACAAUAUGUAUUAGGUACCAAUUAACCCCAAAAUAAACAGAAAAAUAAUUUAA